This 253-nucleotide ribosomal RNA is filed under the name uncultured bacterium. RNAcentral's name for it is "partial 16S ribosomal RNA". It matches the Rfam family "Bacterial small subunit ribosomal RNA", at positions 524 to 776 of the family's 1533-position model. The record is from RNAcentral.
UACGGGGGGGGCAAGCGUUGUUCGGAAUUACUGGGCGUAAAGGGCUCGUAGGUGGCCAACUAAGUCAGACGUGAAAUCCCUCAGCUUAACUGGGGAACUGCGUCUGAUACUGGAUGGCUUGAGUUUGGGAGAGGGAUGCGGAAUUCCAGGUGUAGCGGUGAAAUGCGUAGAUAUCUGGAGGAACACCGGUGGCGAAGGCGGCAUCCUGGACCAAUAUUGACGCUGAGGAGCGAAAGCCAGGGGAGCAAACGGG